AGCGAACGCUGGCGGCAGGCUUAACACAUGCAAGUCGAGCGGGCACCUUCGGGUGUCCGCGGCAGACGGGUGAGUAACACGUGGGAACGUACCCUUCGGUUCGGAAUAACGCUGGGAAACUAGCGCUAAUACCGGAUACGCCCUUAUGGGGAAAGGUUUACUGCCGAAGGAUCGGCCCGCGUCUGAUUAGCUAGUUGGUGGGGUAACGGCCUACCAAGGCGACGAUCAGUAGCUGGUCUGAGAGGAUGAUCAGCCACACUGGGACUGAGACACGGCCCAGACUCCUACGGGAGGCAGCAGUGGGGAAUAUUGGACAAUGGGCGCAAGCCUGAUCCAGCCAGGCCGCGUGAGUGAUGAAGGCCUUAGGGUUGUAAAGCUCUUUUGUCCGGGACGAUAAUGACGGUACCGGAAGAAUAAGCCCCGGCUAACUUCGUG
RNAcentral lists this ribosomal RNA (435 nucleotides) under uncultured bacterium. RNAcentral's name for it is "partial 16S ribosomal RNA". It matches the Rfam family "Bacterial small subunit ribosomal RNA", at positions 29 to 507 of the family's 1533-position model. The record is from RNAcentral.